This 537-nucleotide ribosomal RNA is filed under the name uncultured fungus. Its description in RNAcentral is "eukaryotic LSU rRNA". It matches the Rfam family "Eukaryotic large subunit ribosomal RNA", at positions 57 to 599 of the family's 3401-position model. The record is from RNAcentral. Lineage: Eukaryota; Fungi.
AAAAGAAACCAACAGGGAUUACCUUAGUAACGGCGAGUGANGCGGUAAUAGCUCAAAUUUGAAAUCUGGUCUUUGACCCGAGUUGUAAUUUGUAGAGGAUGUUUUGGGUAUCGCUGCAGCUUAAAUUUCUUGGAACAGAAUGUUAGAAAGGGUGAAAAUCCCGUCUGGAGCUGUGGUAGAGCCUAUGUAAAACUCCUUCAAUGAGUCGAGUUGUUUGGGAAUGCAGCUCAAAAUGGGUGGUAAAUUUCAUCUAAAGCUAAAUAUUAUGGAAUGACCGAUAGCGCACAAGUAGAGUGAUCGGAAGAUGAAAAGCACUUUGAAAAGAGAGUUAAACAGUAUGUGAAAUUGUAUAUAGGGAAGCGCUUGCAACCAGACUUGUGUUUUGCGGUUCCCCCUUGCUUUUGCUUGGGCUACUCCGUUCUAUCCAGGCCAAUAUCGGUUUUGAGGGUUGGUUAAAGGCUCUAGGAAUGUACCUACCUCUCGGGGUAGACUUAUAGCCNUAGAGUGUCAUGCAGCCUCUCGGGACCGAGGUACGCG